CUAGUGUUAACAACAUAUUUCAUACCUACUUUGAGUGCAUGAGGUAAAUAGAGAGAUAUCUCCGCUUUCCAUCGACUGUUAGCUUUUGUUUUGUGACUUAUAUUAUGAUCAGCGGAGAGUAGAAUGAAUCGCUCGUGUGAACUUGCACAUUUGGUGCAACAUGCGUCACUCUCGAUCGGCGGUGUGAUGAUGCAGGUUUUCCAAUAUGCUUGAAAGCGGUUAGGGCGAA
RNAcentral lists this long non-coding RNA (229 nucleotides) under Sorghum bicolor (sorghum). Its description in RNAcentral is "long non-coding RNA (SBIC_LNC003358)". The record is from RNAcentral. Lineage: Eukaryota; Viridiplantae; Streptophyta; Magnoliopsida; Poales; Poaceae.